GACAGAGGAUGCAAGCGUUAUCCGGAAUGAUUGGGCGUAAAGCGUCCGCAGGUGGCACUUCAAGUCUGCUGUUAAAUACUAGGGCUUAACCCUGGAGCGGCAGUGGAAACUGAAGAGCUAGAGUUCGGUAGGGGUAGAGGGAAUUCCCAGUGUAGCGGUGAAAUGCGUAGAGAUUGGGAAGAACACCGAUGGCGAAAGCGCUCUGCUGGGCCGAAACUGACACUGAGGGACGAAAGCUAGGGGAGCGAAAGGG
RNAcentral lists this ribosomal RNA (253 nucleotides) under uncultured bacterium. RNAcentral describes it as "partial 16S ribosomal RNA". It matches the Rfam family "Bacterial small subunit ribosomal RNA", at positions 524 to 776 of the family's 1533-position model. The record is from RNAcentral.